This 519-nucleotide ribosomal RNA is filed under the name Macrotermes annandalei. RNAcentral describes it as "partial 16S ribosomal RNA". It matches the Rfam family "Bacterial large subunit ribosomal RNA", at positions 1831 to 2600 of the family's 2925-position model. The record is from RNAcentral. Lineage: Eukaryota; Metazoa; Arthropoda; Insecta; Blattodea; Termitidae.
CUUUUCUUGUUAGUUUUUGAAGUAUGGCCUGCCCACUGAUUUUUAUUGAAGGGCCGCGGUAUUUUGACCGUGCAAAGGUAGCAUAAUCAUUAGUUCUUUAAUUGUGAUCUGGUAUGAAUGGCUUGACGAGGCAUGGGCUGUCUUAAGUUUGGAAUAGGUUUAUUGAAUUUGGUUUUUGAGUUAGAAUUCUUAAAUGUUUUUAUGGGACGAGAAGACCCUAUAGAGUUUGACAUAUGUUAUAUAGUUUUGUUUGGUUUGUUACCUAAUUGCUUUUGUUAUUUGUUUUGUUGGGGUGAUGGGAAGAAUUUUUUUAACUCUUCUUUGUUUUGAUAUAUUUAUAUAUAUUUGUUUUGAUCCAUUUAUUUUGAUUAUAAGAUUAAAUUACCUUAGGGAUAACAGCGUUAUCCUCCUUGAGAGUUCUUAUUGGCGGGGGGGUUUGCGACCUCGAUGUUGGAUUAAGGUUAAUUUUUGGUGUAGAAGCUGAAUUGAUUAGGUCUGUUCGACCUUUAAAAUCUUACA